GAUGAACGCUGGCGGCGUGCCUAAUACAUGCCAGUCGAGCGAACAGACGAGGAGCUUGCUCCUCUGACGUUAGCGGCGGACGGGUGAGUAACACGUGGAUAACCUACCUAUAAGACUGGGAUAACUUCGGGAAACCGGAGCUAAUACCGGAUAAUAUAUUGAACCGCAUGGUUCAAUAGUGAAAGACGGUUUUGCUGUCACUUAUAGAUGGAUCCGCGCUGCAUUAGCUAGUUGGUAAGGUAACGGCUUACCAAGGCAACGAUGCCUAGCCGACCUGAGAGGGGGAUCCGGCCCACUUGAACCGAGGCACCGGCCAAGCCCCCAAGGGGAGGCAGAGGAAGGGAACUUUCGGAAUGGGGCGAAAGCCUGACGAAGAAACGCGCGUUGAGUGAGGAAGGCCUCCGGUUGGUAAACCUUGGUUAUAGGGGAAAACAAAAUGUGAAGGUACCGAGCACAGCCUGGCGGGUCCCAAACAAGAAGCCACGGCUAACCAACGU
RNAcentral lists this ribosomal RNA (497 nucleotides) under uncultured bacterium. RNAcentral's name for it is "partial 16S ribosomal RNA". It matches the Rfam family "Bacterial small subunit ribosomal RNA", at positions 28 to 506 of the family's 1533-position model. The record is from RNAcentral.